UACGUAGGGGGCAAGCGUUGUCCGGAAUCAUUGGGCGUAAAGAGCGCGUAGGCGGUCCGGUAAGUCCGCUCUGAAAGUCCGGGGCUCAACCCCGGGAGGCGGGCGGAUACUGUCGGGCUAGAGUCCGGAAGAGGCGAGUGGAAUUCCUGGUGUAGCGGUGAAAAUGCGCAGAUAUCAGGAGGAACACCGAUGGCGAAGGCAGCUCGCUGGGACGGUACUGACGCUGAGGCGCGAAAGCGUGGGGAGCAAACAGG
RNAcentral lists this ribosomal RNA (254 nucleotides) under uncultured bacterium. RNAcentral describes it as "partial 16S ribosomal RNA". It matches the Rfam family "Bacterial small subunit ribosomal RNA", at positions 524 to 776 of the family's 1533-position model. The record is from RNAcentral.